UACGAAGGGGGCUAGCGUUGCUCGGAAUCACUGGGCGUAAAGGGUGCGUAGGCGGGUUCUUAAGUCAGGGGUGAAAUCCUGGAGCUCAACUCCAGAACUGCCUUUGAUACUGAGAGUCUUGAGUUCGGGAGAGGUGAGUGGAACUGCGAGUGUAGAGGUGAAAUUCGUAGAUAUUCGCAAGAACACCAGUGGCGAAGGCGGCUCACUGGCCCGAUACUGACGCUGAAGCACGAAAGCGUGGGGAGCAAACAGG
This 253-nucleotide ribosomal RNA is filed under the name uncultured bacterium. Its description in RNAcentral is "partial 16S ribosomal RNA". It matches the Rfam family "Bacterial small subunit ribosomal RNA", at positions 524 to 776 of the family's 1533-position model. The record is from RNAcentral.